AAACCAGCACCUCAAGUGGUCAGGAGGAUUAUUGGGCCUAAAGCAUCCGUAGCCUGCUCUGUAAGUUUUCGGUUAAAUCCAUAUGCUCAACAUAUGGGCUGCCGGGAAUACUGCACAGCUAGGGAGUGGGAGAGGUAGACGGUACUCGGUAGGAAGGGGUAAAAUCCUUUGAUCUAUUGAUGACCACCUGUGGCGAAGGCGGUCUACCAGAACACGUCCGACGGUGAGGGAUGAAAGCUGGGGGAGCAAACCGGAUUAGAAACCCGAGUAGUCC
RNAcentral lists this ribosomal RNA (274 nucleotides) under uncultured bacterium. RNAcentral's name for it is "partial 16S ribosomal RNA". It matches the Rfam family "Archaeal small subunit ribosomal RNA", at positions 473 to 747 of the family's 1478-position model. The record is from RNAcentral.